GAUGAACGCUAGCGGCAGGCCUAACACAUGCAAGUCGAGGGGCAGCACAGGUAGCAAUACUGGGUGGCGACCGGCGGAUGGGUGCGUAACGCGUAUGCAACCUACCAUUGAUUGGGGCAUAGCCCGAAGAAAUUCGGAUUAAUACUCCAUAAUAUUCAUCAAAGGCAUCUUUUAUGAAUUAAAGCUUUUGCGAUCAAUGAUGGGCAUGCGUGACAUUAGUUAGUUGGUGAGGUAACGGCUCACCAAAACGAUGAUGUCUAGGGGUUCUGAGAGGAUUAUCCCCCACACUGGUACUGAGACACGGACCAGACUCCUACGGGAGGCAGCAGUGAGGAAUAUUGGUCAAUGGGCGCAAGCCUGAACCAGCCAUCCCGCGUGCAGGAAGACGGCCCUAUGGGUUGUAAACUGUCUUUUCCAGGGAGAGAACUUACGCACGUGUUGCGUGACUGACGGUACCCUGGGAAUAAGCAUCGGCUAACUCCGUCG
Molecule: ribosomal RNA, 486 nt
Filed under: uncultured bacterium
Lineage: Bacteria
Description: bacterial SSU rRNA
Rfam family: Bacterial small subunit ribosomal RNA
Source: RNAcentral